This 617-nucleotide ribosomal RNA is filed under the name Microsphaeropsis arundinis. Its description in RNAcentral is "eukaryotic LSU rRNA". The stretch from base 250 to 403 matches the Rfam family "5.8S ribosomal RNA". Lineage: Eukaryota; Fungi; Ascomycota; Dothideomycetes; Pleosporales; Didymellaceae. The record is from RNAcentral.
GGAAGUAAAAGUCGUAACAAGGUUUCCGUAGGUGAACCUGCGGAAGGAUCAUUACCAAUUCAACGGUGUGGUCGCGGCCUCCGGGGGCUCCCCCCGGGCGGUAGAGGUAACACUCUUACGCGCCACAUGUCUGAAUCCUUUUUUUACGAGCACCUUUCGUUCUCCUUCGGUGGGGCAACCUGCCGUUGGAACUUAUCAAAACCUUUUUUUGCAUCUAGCAUUACCUGUUCAGAUACAAACAAUCGUUACAACUUUCAACAAUGGAUCUCUUGGCUCUGGCAUCGAUGAAGAACGCAGCGAAAUGCGAUAAGUAGUGUGAAUUGCAGAAUUCAGUGAAUCAUCGAAUCUUUGAACGCACAUUGCGCCCCUUGGUAUUCCAUGGGGCAUGCCUGUUCGAGCGUCAUCUACACCCUCAAGCUCUGCUUGGUGUUGGGCGUCUGUCCCGCCUCUGCGCGUGGACUCGCCCCAAAUUCAUUGGCAGCGGUCUUUGCCUCCUCUCGCGCAGCACAUUGCGCUUCAGAGGGGUGUGGGCCGCGUCCACGAAGCAACAUUAUCGUCUUUGACCUCGGAUCAGGUAGGGAUACCCGCUGAACUUAAGCAUAUCAAUAAGCGGAGGA